GUCUGUGGCUCAGGGGUAGAACACUUGCCUGGCGUGCAUGAGGCACUGGGUUUGAUCCUUAGCACCACA
This 69-nucleotide transfer RNA is filed under the name Marmota monax (woodchuck). RNAcentral describes it as "tRNA.Ala". Lineage: Eukaryota; Metazoa; Chordata; Mammalia; Rodentia; Sciuridae. The record is from RNAcentral.